RNAcentral lists this ribosomal RNA (263 nucleotides) under uncultured bacterium. RNAcentral's name for it is "partial 16S ribosomal RNA". It matches the Rfam family "Bacterial small subunit ribosomal RNA", at positions 793 to 1055 of the family's 1533-position model. The record is from RNAcentral.
GUCCACGCCCUAAACGAUGCGAACUGGACGUUGGGCUCAACUAGGAGCUCAGUGUCGAAGCUAACGCGUUAAGUUCGCCGCCUGGGGAGUACGGUCGCAAGACUGAAACUCAAAGGAAUUGACGGGGCCCGCACAAGCGGUGGAGUAUGUGGUUUAAUUCGAUGCAACGCGAAGAACCUUACCUGGCCUUGACAUCCACGGAAGUCUGCAGAGAUGCGGAUGUGCCUUCGGGAACCGUGAGACAGGUGCUGCAUGGCUGUCGU